This 560-nucleotide long non-coding RNA is filed under the name Homo sapiens (human). RNAcentral's name for it is "non-protein coding lnc-OR4N4-1:23". Lineage: Eukaryota; Metazoa; Chordata; Mammalia; Primates; Hominidae. The record is from RNAcentral.
CAAGGUAAGCUGUCAUCAGUUGGAGGUAAGCGGAAGACAGUAGAGAGUACAGAGCCCUGGACUGUGACUCAGAGGAUGAGCACCAGAUCCAGUUUGCUGUGCCACAGUGUGGAUUUUUAUCUGAGAUCUACAACUUAUGAAGAAUACAAAUGAUGUAUAUUCUUUUCUACUCUUCAUGUAUGGACUAGAGGGGCUUGCACAUAAGAAAAAAAUGGCUGAGACCCACAGGAACAAAGAAACAGGACAGGAGUUAGAUGCAGAGAAGAGAUUUCAACAAAAGUUUGGAAAAGAUGCUAACGGUAGCAUAUGAGUCACAGACAGAACAUUGGCACCUUUGUUUAAGAAACUGAAUGUUAAUGUCACAUCUGCCUUUGGAGAUUACAAAUGAAAUGGCUACCUUUCUACUGGAACCCUGACCAGAAGUCUGCCAGUUAGUAAGCUGGCUUAAGAGAUCAAUCUAAAAUUUACAUAAGGCUUUUGAAAAAAAGAAAAAAGUAAGUCUUUAAAAAAGCCAAAAGGAAACUGGUGGAAUUAGAGGUAAUUCGGGGCGGGGGGGGGGG